This 465-nucleotide ribosomal RNA is filed under the name uncultured Klebsiella sp. RNAcentral describes it as "bacterial SSU rRNA". It matches the Rfam family "Bacterial small subunit ribosomal RNA", at positions 338 to 795 of the family's 1533-position model. Lineage: Bacteria; Pseudomonadati; Pseudomonadota; Gammaproteobacteria; Enterobacterales; Enterobacteriaceae. The record is from RNAcentral.
CCUACGGGUGGCAGCAGUGGGGAAUAUUGCACAAUGGGCGCAAGCCUGAUGCAGCCAUGCCGCGUGUGUGAAGAAGGCCUUCGGGUUGUAAAGCACUUUCAGCGGGGAGGAAGGCGUUAAGGUUAAUAACCUUGGCGAUUGACGUUACCCGCAGAAGAAGCACCGGCUAACUCCGUGCCAGCAGCCGCGGUAAUACGGAGGGUGCAAGCGUUAAUCGGAAUUACUGGGCGUAAAGCGCACGCAGGCGGUCUGUCAAGUCGGAUGUGAAAUCCCCGGGCUCAACCUGGGAACUGCAUUCGAAACUGGCAGGCUAGAGUCUUGUAGAGGGGGGUAGAAUUCCAGGUGUAGCGGUGAAAUGCGUAGAGAUCUGGAGGAAUACCGGUGGCGAAGGCGGCCCCCUGGACAAAGACUGACGCUCAGGUGCGAAAGCGUGGGGAGCAAACAGGAGUAGAUACCCCUGUAGUC